CUAACAAAAGAGAGCAUAAAGUCCUCAUUAAAAUUGGCAAAACUUAUAUGAGAAAUAAAGAAACAAAAGGAAGAAAGAAAGAGAAAAAGGAAGCAAAAGAGGAAUGAUGCCGAGCAACAAGAAGAAAAAUAAGGUGAGAAAAAAGUUGGAAAAAAGAAAGGAGGGAUCACCAAGGGAAUAACCCCUCCCCUAAAGCCAUUGUUGUUCUCAAGGAGUUUUUAGUGAGAGAAAAUCUAAAGAGAAGAAAAGUUACAAAAAUGACCAAUAACUUGUAUAUCACAUUCUCAAUCUAAGAAAUUUAUCUCAACCAUAAUUGUAAUAACAAGUCAAAUCUUAGUAGCGGGAUACGUCCAUUGCAAUAGCAUGUGAUACUACUCUCCUCCACGUCUAAUUAGAAUGACUAUGAUCAAUAAAUUUUCCCAAAUCCAUACAUGAUCUAAUUAAACAAUUCUUUAUACAAUAACAAAUGUUUUGUAAUUCAUAUUCUGACAAACAACUUAUAUGUUAUUUAUGUAAAUAAUAUGUACCAAAUUUCAAUUCCAAAGGAUUUAAAACUAUUUAAUUUCAAGAACAUAUGUAACAAAAAAAAUAUAUCAAUGUUGGAAAAAUUUAAAUUUAGAUGACAAAGCACAAUUAAAUAAACUAUUACUAAAAAAAACUUUCCAAUAUAAUUACAAAAUGAAAAAUUAAAAUUUUGUCCUAGAUUUAUAAUCAUAGGUCAACUCUCGAAGGGGAAGUAUGUCCUUCAUUGCAAAUAGCAUCAAGUGAGGCGUCUGACUAUCACCAUAAAAGACUUUUUGGACUUGAAGGCUAGGAUAAUAACUAUGAUUAAUAAAGCAUCCCAAAUUUUCAAAAUUGGUAACGUCUAUAGCCAAACACUCAUCUUCCUUAGAAAAACUUGUAUUCAACAAAUUACAAAGAGGGAGCAUAUGAUCAUUUUGACAAAUUUGCUUAUUAUUUACCAUGUCAAACAAAUGCUCAAUUUCACUAACUUUUCCUUCCUUUGCUUGUUUUACUCCAAAAUACUCGCAUACAAAACUUCCCGCUUGAAUAUAUUCUUUUGAUCGGACACCCCAUCUUCUUGAUUUAUUCAUAAACAAUUGAAAUUGAAAGCGAAUGCCACGUUGACUGACCCUAUUGAUGCAAGAAUCAUAACAUUUGCAAAAAGGACCACACUCAAAAAUGUAAGCCUUUCUUCUAACAAGACAUUCAUUAUAAUCAUAAGGAACAACUUUCCCAUUCUUGAUUUUGCAUGAACAAUCUUCAGAAUCUGAGCAUCCAUCAAUGCAAUCACAACCAAUUGACAUGCACUGAUUGGAAACCAAAGAGUGAGUUUUAUCAGCAUGUGGCAAAGAUCUCUUGUAAUCAAGUGUGUUCAUCACUAUAACUGCUUCCUUUUUUUUGUUUUCAAAACUAUCACUUAGCAAAACACCAUCACUACUAAAUGAGUACUUAUCUAACCUGAAUAUUAAUCCUCGAGUUCGCUUUGGCUGUCCUGAAAGCCUUCUCAACUUAAAUUUGAAGACAAGUUUGGCAAAUUUCCCUCUUUCUUGCCAACACUUCUCCACAUGGUAUAAGCCAUCAUAAACAUAAGUAGAUAGCUUAGAACUCUUGCAUAUUUUAAAAAUAACUCUAACAGGAGUUUUUCGUUCCAUAUUAUUCUUUAGUGCAAGAUUUCCAUGUUUAAGCACUUGAUCUUUAAGUGGCCAUUUAUUUCGAACCAUUGGAUUCCCACCUUCACCAGAAUAAGUUAGGACAUCGGAUGAAUUCAUGAAAUUCGGAUAUCGACCACUUGAAACAAUACUUGUAGCUAAUUUUAUUCCAUCCUUCUCAACAUAAUCAAUGCCUUUCCAAAAUUGUUGAUGAAGACCAAUUACGCAUAGCUCAGCUCUAAAUUGAAACUCAUCACCAACUUCAACUCCAGGAACAGAACCCAAUAUUUUUAUUGUGUUCAGCCAAUUAUGUCUAUCACGAAGGAUAAAUGCCGCAAAUUGACGAAUGUUAGGUUUUUUCAUUAUUGCCUUUCUGUUUUCUUUCAAGAGCUCCUCACACACCUCAUGAAACAAUCUCAAAACCUCUUUAACUUCUUUACGACCAGGACUCGAUUCCUCUUUGGCGCCCAUGGCGUAAGGAUGUUGGCCUCCAAUAUUUGAAUUUACCUCUAAAACAUAUUUGCCUUUGCCAAUUGUAGUGUACUUAGAAACAUGGAAAGUAUCAACAUUACCAUCGACCAAGACAUUGUCUUUGGAAACAAGGGUAGCCUCUACAAGAUCAUCAUUCGAGAGAGUGUCCUCAGGAACCAAAUAAUGAUCUUGUUUCUCAUAACCAUUAGUAAGGACAAUGUCCUUAGCAAUAGAGUGAGAAUUUUGUUUCCCAAAAUCCCGCUUGACAUAAAGCUCUUUUAAAAUUCUUUUGAAAGGGGCUUUUAAAUGCAGAUCAUCUUUAGCUUUCCAUUUUGCUCCCACAAGCCUUGAUGGGCAAUCCAUCUUUAAGCAUGUAAAUUUAAGUAUAUAAGACACAAGGUUUUGGUGAUAAUCGUUCAACAUAUAAAUGAACUUAGCAAACUAAUAAAGAAAAUACUUAAAAAUCUUAGCAAGUGUUAUUAAACCAACAACAAGAUAUCAGUAUAAACUCCAACUAUACAAACCUAAGAAACAAGCAUACUCCCAACAGAAACUACUGCUACCAUAACCAUAUGAAAGAAAAAUGCAUAUAUAUAAUUAUUUAUUGAAAACAACUUAAUUUAAGCAAAGAUAGAAAAUAAUAUCAUUUAAAAUAACUACGUACAUCCAUACACAAGAAACAAUUUAUUGUCCCGUAGACAAUUGG
RNAcentral lists this unclassified non-coding RNA (2829 nucleotides) under Hevea brasiliensis (rubber tree). The record is from RNAcentral. Lineage: Eukaryota; Viridiplantae; Streptophyta; Magnoliopsida; Malpighiales; Euphorbiaceae.